AACAGUCAAACAAAUUAGCAAUGGGGCCACCAACAGAGUAUAUCCAACCCUGAUUCAGAUAUCUCACUUUAUCAGUUUUCUGUCAAUCAUUAAAACGAGAAAGAUGAAACAUACAAUUAUAUACAAGGACACAGAACUCCUAAUUCUUUCAUCCUAGCUGAAGCAGAAGAGUUUUAAUUGCUUAGAAAAAUAAGAUUUUUGUUUU
Molecule: non-coding RNA, 205 nt
Organism: Pteropus alecto (black flying fox)
Lineage: Eukaryota; Metazoa; Chordata; Mammalia; Chiroptera; Pteropodidae
Source: Rfam